ACGGAAGGCAGCAGUGGGGAAUAUUGCACAAUGGGGGAAACCCUGAUGCAGCGACGCCGCGUGAGCGAUGAAGUAUUUCGGUAUGUAAAGCUCUAUCAGCAGGGAAGAUAAUGACGGUACCUGACUAAGAAGCCCCGGCUAACUACGUGCCAGCAGCCGCGGUAAUACGUAGGGGGCAAGCGUUAUCCGGAUUUACUGGGUGUAAAGGGAGCGCAGGCGGUGCUUUAAGUCUGAUGUGAAAAUCCGGGGCUCAACCCCGGAACUGCAUUGGAAACUGGAGUACUAGAGUGUCGGAGGGGCAAGUGGAAUUCCUAGUGUAGCGGUGAAAUGCGUAGAUAUUAGGAGGAACACCAGUGGCGAAGGCGGCUUGCUGGACGACAACUGACGCUGAGGCUCGAAAGCGUGGGGAGCAAACAGGAUUAGAUACCCUGGUA
Molecule: ribosomal RNA, 434 nt
Filed under: uncultured Lachnospiraceae bacterium
Lineage: Bacteria; Bacillati; Bacillota; Clostridia; Lachnospirales; Lachnospiraceae
Description: partial 16S ribosomal RNA
Rfam family: Bacterial small subunit ribosomal RNA
Source: RNAcentral